RNAcentral lists this ribosomal RNA (462 nucleotides) under uncultured bacterium. RNAcentral's name for it is "partial 16S ribosomal RNA". It matches the Rfam family "Bacterial small subunit ribosomal RNA", at positions 29 to 507 of the family's 1533-position model. The record is from RNAcentral.
AUGAACGCUGACAGAAUGCUUAACACAUGCAAGUCUUUGGCGAAUCUGUGCUUGCACAGGCUAGCCAAGGCGGACGGGGGAGUAACGCGUAAAGAACUUGCCCUGCAGACAGGGAUAACAGACGGAAACGACUGAUAACACCUGAUACAGUUGCCGGCACGCAUGUGCCUGGCAAUGAAAAGAGAUGCUGCAGGAGAGCUUUGCGUCCUAUUAGCUUGUUGGUGAGGUGACGGCUCACCAAGGCGAUGAUAGGUAGCCGGCCUGAGAGGGUGAACGGCCACAAGGGGACUGAGAUACGGCCCUUACUCCUACGGGAGGCAGCAGUGGGGAAUAUUGGACAAUGGGGGCAACCCUGAUCCAGCAAUUCUGUGUGCACGAAGAAGGUUUUCGGAUUGUAAAGUGCUUUCAGCAGGGAAGAAGAAAGUGACGGUACCUGCAGAAGAAGCGACGGCUAAAUACGUG